This 582-nucleotide ribosomal RNA is filed under the name Lysobacteraceae bacterium StRD720. Its description in RNAcentral is "bacterial SSU rRNA". It matches the Rfam family "Bacterial small subunit ribosomal RNA", at positions 102 to 680 of the family's 1533-position model. The record is from RNAcentral. Lineage: Bacteria; Pseudomonadati; Pseudomonadota; Gammaproteobacteria; Lysobacterales; Lysobacteraceae.
ACGGGUGAGUAAUGCAUCGGGAUCUACCUCAACGUGGGGGAUAACGUAGGGAAACUUACGCUAAUACCGCAUACGUCCUACGGGAGAAAGCAGGGGACCUUCGGGCCUUGCGCGGUGAGACGAACCGAUGUUCGAUUAGCUAGUUGGUAGGGUAAUGGCCUACCAAGGCGACGAUCGAUAGCUGGUCUGAGAGGAUGAUCAGCCACACUGGAACUGAGACACGGUCCAGACUCCUACGGGAGGCAGCAGUGGGGAAUAUUGGACAAUGGGCGCAAGCCUGAUCCAGCAAUGCCGCGUGUGUGAAGAAGGCCUUCGGGUUGUAAAGCACUUUUAUCAGGAACGAAAUACCACGGGUUAAUACCCUAUGGGGCUGACGGUACCUGAGGAAUAAGCACCGGCUAACUUCGUGCCAGCAGCCGCGGUAAUACGAAGGGUGCAAGCGUUAAUCGGAAUUACUGGGCGUAAAGGGUGCGUAGGCGGUUCGUUAAGUCUGUCGUGAAAUCCCCGGGCUCAACCUGGGAAUGGCGAUGGAUACUGGCGAGCUAGAGUGUGUCAGAGGAUGGUGGAAUUCCCGGUGUAGCG